GUUAGUUUCGUUUUCCUUUGUUGAUUUAGUUAGUUCGUAUUUCGUUGUUCUUGCGUUUAAAAAUUGUCAUUGUUGACAGCUCAUUAAUAACUUGACACUCUUAGCAGUUGACGACAGAAGUUGACGAACUACACAUAGCAACGCGCGGAAUUCAGGAAUCACUGUCUCAAUGCAUUUUUUACGAAAUGCCCAGGCGGGAUAUUCAUACACUUCAUUAAGAAGGCGGUGCUAAAAACCCAGGUAAUUUUGUUGGUUAAUGUUGACAACCUAGUUUUUUUGACAAUUAUCUGACAGAACUGUCAGUGUCAAUCGGCACCUAUUUCAAGUGCAUAAUUUAAUUACGAACCUUUAAAGGCUUUUGUACCAGCCCUGAUAUGUGGCCCUUUCGAACACCUUUCGAGUAAUGUACAAACAUAGCUUUAAAAAAAGCCAGUGCAAUUAGAACAUGAUAUGGAAAAUUAUUGUCGGUAUAAACUAGUUGAAGGAGUAAUAUUCAUGAAAAAGGGCGUUCUUCCUCAUAUUUUUGACCAGUCCGAUAUCAAGAAUGUUGUAGAAAGUUUGGAUGAAGAACAAGCACAACGUUCAUUUUUCGAAUUUAUCUCUUGUGCAAGUAUACUAUCUAAUGAAGAUGAAGAAAACCGAGAUGAAAUUUUCGCCAAUCCUUCAAAUGAAAAUAAUCAAAUUCUAAUGAGCGAUAAUAUUUAGGACAAUUGUUCAAAUGAAAAUGGACAAAGUCUAACGCAAGAUAAAAUUUUAUUCAUUCCUGUAAACUGUUCUUCAAUAAGCAACAUCCCCAGUAUUUCUAUAAAGGCAAAGAAAACAAGAACUGUUGGAAUACAAUUUCAGCCCUACUUUUAUAGCAAGGGUGUACAGUUUCAGCCCUGCCUACGUAACAAAGGUAUACAAUGUAAUUUUGAAGAUUACAUAAGAAAUGCAUCUAGUUCUGCAACAUGAAACAUGUCUAAAGCUGCUCAAAACUGCAGGAGUUCACACGAUGAAACAAGUUUUGUAAGUGUGGAAGGAUGUGGCCUCAAACAUGAUUCUGCUACAGACUGAUCCAGAAAUACUGGUCUGUUGGCAAACUGGACAUACAUUUUUAAGGAUACCAAUGGAGUACGCUUCCAGUUAACAACAAUUUAACAUUCUUGUGGGGUUGUACGUCAAAUAAUUAUCAAGAAAAAUCUAAUUCCGUUGCAAGGUUGCAAAUUACGAGCGCAAAUACUUUCAAAUGUGUUGCCAACAGACUCAGUAUUUCUGGAUCAGUCUGUAUUUUUUCAAUAGGCACAACAAAGGGAUCUUGCUUCUCCAAAUGUUUUGUUUAGUGCUGCGAACUGCAGCAGUUCAUAUGAUGGAUCAAGUUUUUUAAGUGUGAAAGAAGAAAUGAUAUAUGUACCAGAUACAGAAGCAAAACUAUGAUUACUUACGCGUAAUAAUUUUUAAUGGUACUAACAAGAAAAUAUUUUAAACAUUCCACCUGUUAUCCGAAAUUCCAUUCCAAUCCUGACUUCCU
Molecule: long non-coding RNA, 1510 nt
Organism: Tribolium castaneum (red flour beetle)
Lineage: Eukaryota; Metazoa; Arthropoda; Insecta; Coleoptera; Tenebrionidae
Exons: 3
Source: RefSeq, a predicted model, not a curated record